Long non-coding RNA from Eleginops maclovinus (Patagonian blennie), 593 nucleotides. RefSeq lists it as uncharacterized. The record is from RefSeq and is a predicted model, not a curated record. NCBI's taxonomy places the organism in Eukaryota, Metazoa, Chordata, Actinopteri, Perciformes, Eleginopidae. The transcript has 3 exons.
UGAUUGUUUUGCAGCUCUAAGAGAGGACCGGUACUACAACGCUGGCAGAGCCAUUGCAGUGAGUUUGGUGCAUGGUGGUCCACCACCAAACUUCCUGUCACCAACAGUGUUUUCGCUUCUUGUUGAUGGUUCAGCAAAUCCAGCUGUAGAAGACAUAGCUGACCCAGAACUCCUUGAGAAAGUCAAAAAGAUUCUGUGAAGGUCUGAAGACUCUUGGGGUUCUUGAAAAAAUCAGGAGACAUCCUGACAGCUUUAAGCCCCUGUUUUGCUAUGAGGCAAGUCUUCUCACUGCUGACCAGAUGGACAAUCUCUUCAGCAUUCCACUCUCUCCAGAAGGGAGCAACAAGAGAACUGCAGAAGAAAUGGUUGUAAUCUUCUGGAGAGACUAUCUCCAGGAUGCAGAAGAAGAAGAAGGGCCAUCCAAACUACAAAAAAUAUUGGCCUUCGCAACAGGAGCCUCUGUGGUGCCACCCAUCGGCUUUUCCCCAACACCUUCUGUGGAGUUCAUUCACAAGGGAGAGGACGACUAUGCCUCGACACCAUUGUUCCCUAUGGCCAACACAUGUGUCAACUGCAUCAGGUUGCCGCUACAU